This 402-nucleotide ribosomal RNA is filed under the name uncultured prokaryote. RNAcentral describes it as "bacterial SSU rRNA". It matches the Rfam family "Bacterial small subunit ribosomal RNA", at positions 355 to 774 of the family's 1533-position model. The record is from RNAcentral.
UGGGGAAUCUUAGACAAUGGGCGCAAGCCUGAUCUAGCCAUGCCGCGUGAGCGAUGUAGGCCUUAGGGUUGUAAAGCUCUUUCAGGGGGGAAGAUAAUGACUGUACCCCCAGAAGAAGCCCCGGCUAACUCCGUGCCAGCAGCCGCGGUAAUACGGAGGGGGCUAGCGUUGUUCGGAAUUACUGGGCAUAAAGCGCACGUAGGCGGACUGGAAAGUCAGAGGUGAAAUCCCAGGGCUCAACCUUGGAACUGCCUUUGAAACUCCCGGUCUUGAGGUCGAGAGAGGUGAGUGGAAUUCCGAGUGUAGAGGUGAAAUUCGUAGAUAUUCGGAGGAACACCAGUGGCGAAGGCGGCUCACUGGCUCGAUACUGACGCUGAGGUGCGAAAGCGUGGGGAGCAAACA